Molecule: long non-coding RNA, 519 nt
Organism: Saccostrea echinata
Lineage: Eukaryota; Metazoa; Mollusca; Bivalvia; Ostreida; Ostreidae
Exons: 3
Source: RefSeq, a predicted model, not a curated record
UGUGGAUUCAAGUCUUAAACAAAAGGAUCCACAAAGUGUUGUAUCAAAAACUCCUGUCCCAUCAAAGCAGUCCGCACUGGAACAAAAGCACAAGACUUCGUCUGGUAGUGUUGUUCAGAAGUUCAAUGAGAAAUGUAAACAAUUGAAAUCUGGGUCCAAAAAAGAGCCAAUGUCUAUCAAAAAGACACUCCCAGAGGACUACAGACCAGUGGUUAACACAACCCUGUUACUAGAUGACUUGUCACCUGACAGUUUUACACUGUUUAAAGCAGACAAUUUCUAUGGACCACAGAUUCUUGUCACUUCUGACUCUCACUGCUUUGUGGUGUCUGUGCCUUUCUUCUAACUGGACAAUAGAGACUUCUGAAUGUGGAGAUAGUGCACAUUUAGUGAAGGAACAUUCUCUUAGUGAACUACAACCACAGUCUUUCAUUAAAGCUUCUGUGAUAUUUAUUUUGAAAGUACUUUUGACUUUUGAAAAAUACUUUUUAGGCUGAUUUUAUAUUUGUGUAUUGUGUU